This 1002-nucleotide ribosomal RNA is filed under the name Triticum aestivum (bread wheat). RNAcentral describes it as "partial small subunit ribosomal RNA". The record is from RNAcentral. Lineage: Eukaryota; Viridiplantae; Streptophyta; Magnoliopsida; Poales; Poaceae.
AUGGAACCCUAUGUUGGCAUGAGGUUUGACAGCCUUCAAAUUGCUAAGGAUCACUACAACAGUUACGCACUACGGAUGGGUUUCUCUAUCAAGAUGAACACCUCUAGACGGACACCCCGCACCAAUGAAUUGAUAAAACAACAGUUUUGCUGCAACAAGUUCAAGAAGCCCAAAGCUGAUGAUGGAGGAGCUGAGGCUCCUCCUUACCUGGACCCUAUUCCAGAUCCAACAUCUGUUAACAGUGAUGAGGAGAUGGAAGAAGAACCUCCAAUAUUUGCUGAAGAGGAUGCUGGUACUAGUAAGAAGAAGAAGAAGCGCAAACGUGAGACAAUAAAGCAGACUGAAUGCAAGGCGAAAAUGUUGGUGAAGCUGAUAGAUGGGCGAUGGGAGGUGACGCACUUUGUUCGUGACCACAAUCAUCCGCUCGUGAACAAACCUUCAUUGUCCAAAUACUUGAGAUCCCACCAAGGCAUCUCACCUGAUGAAAAGGAGUUUCUGCGCAUCUUGUAUAACUGCAACUUGACUACAGGACGAAUGAUGCAUGUAAUGGCAGAGUUCUAUGGAUCUGAGAUGAUGGUGCCGUUCGAACCAAAGGCAAUAACAAAUCUUUGUACAAGUUUCCGUAGAGAUGACACAAAGGAGGGUGAUCUGAUUGAGACAAUUGCGCACUUCAAGGAUAUACAAAAAACCGAUCCAGACUUCUUCUAUAAGGUGAAAUAUGAUGAAGAGGACAGAGUUGUCAACAUAUUUUGGGUGGACGGCUUAGCUCGAAAAGCUUAUGUGGAGGCGUACCACGAUUGCAUAUCGUUUGACACCACCUACAUGACCAACUUGUACAAUAUGCCGUUUGCGCCCUUCAUAGGAAUAAACCGACAUGGCCAAUCUUUCAUGUUGGGUUGCGCGUUUGUGAGGCAGGAGUUGGCAUCGAGCUUUGAUUGGGUCUUUGGAGCAUUCCUAGAGGCUAUGGAUGGCAAACCUCCUGACAACUUCAUCACCGAUUAG